AUACCUACUAACACUAAUAUUUCAAAACUCCCCACCAUGACUUCUUGCUCUUCUAAGUAGUUGUUAUUGAUUCAUUAUGCUUCUCUUGCACAUCACCAUCUGAUGUUGGAAGGAAAGGGCUUGCACCAUGAAGAGAAAAAACUGAAUACGAAAACAUUUUAACUUGUUCAAUCAUUGCCCCUGGUCCCUUCAACUCCCCAAAUCUUAAAAUUGUACCAUCCAUAUAGAAUUAACCUGCAGAAAAUAAGUAUGGUCAAACAUGUUAUGUAUCAAUUCGAAAUGGCACAGAAGCAUUAGAGAAUUUCAAAUAGUUGUUACCCGUUACCAAAAAAUACACCAUAUUAAGUACUUUUCUAAUUAUUAAGAGAAGAAAGACAAUUAAAUCAUAAAUAUAUAACUAGAAAGUAACAUGAAGGAAGAUUACUCACCUGUUCUAAUUACUUUUCUUAAUAAUCAUGUUCAAACACAAAAGGAAGAUUACUCACCUGUAAACUUGCCACUCAUAAGCUCCAAAACAUAAAUAAGCUCCAUAACAGUAGCUUUGAAUUGGCGAGACAACAUUAUGAAAUCUGGAUCUUGUUCCAGCUCUAGAUUAUAAAAAUGGAAGCAACUAGUCUUCAAAGAUAAUGAAUUAUAUUUUAUCAAUGGUUGAUUCAUCAUGAAAGAAUUAUAAAAUUCUUUUUUUCCAGUUUAUCAUAAUGCUAAAAUGCCAUACUAUUAAGCUGAAAACAACAACAAAAUUCUUAAUUCAUUAAACUAUGUCAACUAUAUGGAUUACACCAUUGGGUACAGUCAAAAAACAAAUCCUUAGAGAAUUAUUCCCUGUGACAUCCCUUUUAACAACUUCUUCCAAUGUUCUUCAUGGUCCUCUACCCUCUUCCUCCAAAGAGACAAAAUACC
RNAcentral lists this small RNA (900 nucleotides) under Vigna angularis var. angularis. Its description in RNAcentral is "Non-protein coding transcript". Lineage: Eukaryota; Viridiplantae; Streptophyta; Magnoliopsida; Fabales; Fabaceae. The record is from RNAcentral.